UGCGUCCUUGGGCACUUCACCUUCCAGGUCUCAGUUUUGCUCUUCAUAAAAUGGUUGGACAUCAGGAGGAGAGAGGCCACGCGGGGACGGAGGAGGCAGAGAGGACAGGCAGUGAUGGAGAAACUGGAGAGGAGCCGGCGAGCGUCACCAUCAUUACCAUCAUCAUCACCGCCACCAUCGCCUCCACCGUCACCAUCACCAUCAUCACCAUCACCAUCUCUGCCCGUCGCCCAUCCCAGCGGCCCCCGACCUCCCCUCCCCUCUCAUUUCCCCGGGUAACGUUAACUUUAUCGGAUUAUUUCCUUUUCCUGGGUGAUACUUUGAAACCGCGACAGACUGCUCCAAAUUAG
RNAcentral lists this long non-coding RNA (350 nucleotides) under Mustela putorius furo (domestic ferret). Its description in RNAcentral is "lncRNA (ENSMPUG00000027759.1)". Lineage: Eukaryota; Metazoa; Chordata; Mammalia; Carnivora; Mustelidae. The record is from RNAcentral.